This 465-nucleotide ribosomal RNA is filed under the name uncultured bacterium. Its description in RNAcentral is "partial 16S ribosomal RNA". It matches the Rfam family "Bacterial small subunit ribosomal RNA", at positions 338 to 795 of the family's 1533-position model. The record is from RNAcentral.
CCUACGGGAGGCAGCAGUAGGGAAUCUUCCACAAUGGGCGAAAGCCUGAUGGAGCAACGCCGCGUGGGUGAAGAAGGUCUUCGGAUCGUAAAACCCUGUUGUUAGAGAAGAAAGUGCGUGAGAGUAACUGUUCACGUUUCGACGGUAUCUAACCAGCAAGCCACGGCUAACUACGUGCCAGCAGCCGCGGUAAUACGUAGGUGGCAAGCGUUAUCCGGAUUUAUUGGGCGUAAAGGGAACGCAGGCGGUCUUUUAAGUCUGAUGGGAAAGCCUUCGGCUUAACCGGAGUAGUGCAUUGGAAACUGGGAGACUUGAGUGCAGGAGAGGAGAGGGGAACUCGAGGUGUAGCGGUGAAAUGCGUAGAUAUAUGGAAGAACACCAGUGGCGAAAGCGGCUCUCUGGUCUGUAACUGACGCUGAGGUUCGAAAGCGUGGGUAGCGAACAGGAUUAGAUACCCGGGUAGUC